UACGGGGGGGGCAAGCGUUGUUCGGAAUUACUGGGCGUAAAGAGUUCGUAGGCGGCGCAGAAAGUGGGGUGUGAAAGCCCUCGGCUCAACCGAGGAAUUGCGCUCCAAACUACUGUGCUAGAGGAAGCUAGAGGUGAGCAGAACAGAUGGUGGAGCGGUGAAAUGCGUUGAUAUCAUCUGGAAUACCGGAGGCGAAGGCGGCUCACUGGGGCUUGUCUGACGCUGAGGAACGAAAGCCGGGGUAGCGAACGGG
This 253-nucleotide ribosomal RNA is filed under the name uncultured bacterium. RNAcentral describes it as "partial 16S ribosomal RNA". It matches the Rfam family "Bacterial small subunit ribosomal RNA", at positions 524 to 776 of the family's 1533-position model. The record is from RNAcentral.